GUCUGUGUCUGUGUCUGUGUGCGUGUGCGUGUGCGUGUCUGUGUCUGUGUCUGUGUGUGUGUGUGUUGUGUGUGUGUGUGUUUGUGUGUGUGUGUGUGUGUGUGUAUGUGUGUGUGUGUGUGUGUGUGUGUGUGUGUGAUUUGCUGAAGCAGUAACAGGAUUUCUCGUUGUCCUGAGAGUUCAGAUGUGAUGCGUCAAGACUUCUGAGUUUCAUUUCUGUCCUGAAGAGAUGAGCUGUUUACCCAAUAACACUUUUCUUCAGUAUUUCUGUUCUCGGGGCCGAACACAGAGCGGCAUUUGACUCCCGUCAGCCACAAUAAAGGAUGAUCCGGCCUCUGACCCAGCAGCCCUGCGUGAUUCCAGCAGAUGAGGAGUGACACGUGGUUCAGAGGUUAAUUUGUGUAACAGCCCAAUUUGCAUACAAAUGACAAAUGACAGAAUUUUUCUCUCUCCAAACGUUCAAUGUCGAGCACAUGAAGAGCACCGUGGGCUCCCGCUGCCUCGAUCGGCCGAGGCUCUGAAGUCGGGCACCUUGUUUCACAUUAAUCUCGAGCGCAGUUCUGCAGUGAAACUCUGAACCGACGGGACGCUGAUAGAAACGGAUCAAGAACAUCAGGGUUUAGGGUGAGAAAACGUGAACAAAUCCCAUUGAACGGAAUGACCGUUUCUA
Cyprinus carpio carpio is the source of this 670-nucleotide long non-coding RNA. The record is from Ensembl. NCBI's taxonomy places the organism in Eukaryota, Metazoa, Chordata, Actinopteri, Cypriniformes, Cyprinidae.